RNAcentral lists this long non-coding RNA (1177 nucleotides) under Chloebia gouldiae (Gouldian finch). RNAcentral describes it as "Erythrura gouldiae (Gouldian finch) lncRNA (ENSEGOG00005011291.1)". The record is from RNAcentral. Lineage: Eukaryota; Metazoa; Chordata; Aves; Passeriformes; Passeridae.
GGGUUUUGUAGAAAAUUUGAGGAUUUGGGGUUUUUUUUGGGGGGGGUUUGAAUCAAGGGACCCCCCCGGGUUAAUGGGAGCGACUCCCAAAAUCGGGGAGGGGGAACUGAAAUGAGACCCCCCCCCCCAAAAAACAAGGAAAAAAGGAGGAGGAACCCACCCAAAAUGAAAGAAAAUCCCGGGAUUUCCCCCCCAAAAAACCCAAAAUCAGCACGGGAGCGGCCCCAAAAUGAAACAAACCCAAAAAACACCCAAAAAACCCCAAAAUCGGCACAGGAAUAGCCCCGAAACGAAACAAACCCAAAAAAAACACCCAUAAAACCCCAAAAAUCGGGACGGGGAUGGCUCCAGAACGAAAUAGACCCAAAAAAACACCCAAAAAACCCCAAAAUCAGCACGGGAAUGGUUCCAGAACAAAACAAACCCAAAAAACACCCAAAAUCCCUAAAAAUCGGCACGGGAGCAGCCCCGAAACCAAACAAACCCAAAAAACCCGAAAAAAACCCCAAAAACGGGCACGGGAGCGGCCCCGCACGAGCAGCUCGGGCACGCGCGGCGGCUGCAGCGGGAGCGCGGACGGGACCGGCACCGAACCCGGGACAAGAACCGGGACCGGGACCGAACCCGGGACCGGGACGGACACCGGGACCGAACCCGGGACCGGGACAGGAACCGGCACCGGCACAGAAACUGGGACCGAACCUGGGACCGAACCCGGCACCGGAACAGGAACCGGGACAGGAACCGGGACCGAACCCGGCACCGGGACAGGAACCGGGACCGAACCCGGGACCGGGACGGACACCGGGACCGAACCCGGGACCGGGACCGACAGCGGGACCGGAACCGGGACAGGAACCGGGACCGGGACAGGAACUGGGACCGGCACCGGGAAAGGAACCGGGACCGGGACCGGGAAAGGAACCGGGACCAAACCCGGGACAGAACCCGGGACCGACACCCGCACCGGGACCGGGAGCGGCUCCGGGAGCGGCGCCGCCAUGGCUGCCCGGGGCGGGGGCGUGGCCAAGGAGGGGGCGUGGCUCGGAACGAGGCCAAUGACCCGUGAGGGGCGUGGCCUAAGUGGGUGUGUUCGGUGUGGGCGUGGCCUAAGUGGGUGUGCCCGGCGGGGCGUGGCUUAAGUGGGUGUGUUUGGGGCGUGGCCACGGGGGUUGCG